UGGUGGAUAAUCAGCUUUAAGCAUAGAAAAAUACGCACAUUGGAUGUGGCUGGGCUCCCAGCGAGGCUUUCACAGAGGAUUAGACUCCCACGUCCCAGCGGGCUCCAUCUCAUCGCCUGCUCCCACAGAAUCGAUUUGGCUGUCACGUUUCAGGGAGCCCUGGGCUGUUAUUCAUUGACAGUGGCUGUCUGAUCUCCUGGUCGGUGUUGGGUGAAAUGGCUAUGAUACACCCAUCACAGGUAUCUGGACAGAGGGAAACUGGGACCACUGAACUUUGCCUCUAAACUUCGCCUGGAGCACGAUGAGCUCAAGCAAAAACAGUUCUGAUUCUGCCAUUUACUCAGCACAGACUAUGGAGCUCCUCAGCCCCAUACGUCUGCACUGGGGCCACUGGACUCCACAAGAACCAUCAGCAGCAAGAAGAAAUCAGAUGGCACCUUCAGUGCUCUGCUUGGACCCUCUCCUUAGCCAAAUCACCUUGUGCGUAAGGUGCUAUGCCAUUUCAUUCCGUCAGAGCCUCAUGCAGAAGAUAUACUGAAGAGGACACAGAAAAGGUAUGUAAUUUUCUCAAGGUCACACAUCUUGUGGCAGAGCCAAGGUUUGAAAACAAGUCUUUCUUGGAAGCCCGUAACAUUUCUACCACAUCAACAGCAGGUUGUCUAAAGGGGACCCCUCAGUGUUUGAUGAGUGAAUGAAUGGAUUCCUCUAAGUCGGCUCUGCCACCAGGUUUUAGGGCAGAAACAGCAGGG
Molecule: long non-coding RNA, 749 nt
Organism: Myotis myotis
Lineage: Eukaryota; Metazoa; Chordata; Mammalia; Chiroptera; Vespertilionidae
Exons: 5
Source: RefSeq, a predicted model, not a curated record